RNAcentral lists this ribosomal RNA (1359 nucleotides) under Pedobacter sp. CCBAU 10902. Its description in RNAcentral is "bacterial SSU rRNA". It matches the Rfam family "Bacterial small subunit ribosomal RNA", at positions 72 to 1433 of the family's 1533-position model. Lineage: Bacteria; Pseudomonadati; Bacteroidota; Sphingobacteriia; Sphingobacteriales; Sphingobacteriaceae. The record is from RNAcentral.
CAUUUAGCUUGCUAGAUGGGAAAGUGGCGCACGGGUGCGUAACGCGUAUGCAACCUACCUUAAUCAGGGGGAUAGCCCGAAGAAAUUCGGAUUAACACCGCAUAAAAUCACAGUACAGCAUUGUACAAUGAUCAAAUAUUUAUAGGAUUAAGAUGGGCAUGCGUGUCAUUAGUUAGUUGGCGAGGUAACGGCUCACCAAGACCACGAUGACUAGGGGAUCUGAGAGGAUGACCCCCCACACUGGUACUGAGACACGGACCAGACUCCUACGGGAGGCAGCAGUAAGGAAUAUUGGUCAAUGGAGGCAACUCUGAACCAGCCAUGCCGCGUGCAGGAAGACAGCCCUCUGGGUCGUAAACUGCUUUUAUUCGGGAAUAAACCUACUUACGUGUAAGUAGCUGAAUGUACCGAAGGAAUAAGGAUCGGCUAACUCCGUGCCAGCAGCCGCGGUAAUACGGAGGAUCCAAGCGUUAUCCGGAUUUAUUGGGUUUAAAGGGUGCGUAGGCGGCUUAUUAAGUCAGGGGUGAAAGACGGUGGCUCAACCAUCGCAGUGCCCUUGAUACUGAUGAGCUUGAAUACACUAGAGGUAGGCGGAAUGUGACAAGUAGCGGUGAAAUGCAUAGAUAUGUCACAGAACACCGAUUGCGAAGGCAGCUUACUAUGGUGUCAUUGACGCUGAGGCACGAAAGCGUGGGGAUCAAACAGGAUUAGAUACCCUGGUAGUCCACGCCCUAAACGAUGAAUACUCGCUGUUAGCGAUACACAGUUAGCGGCUAAGCGAAAGCGUUAAGUAUUCCACCUGGGGAGUACGCCCGCAAGGGUGAAACUCAAAGGAAUUGACGGGGGCCCGCACAAGCGGAGGAGCAUGUGGUUUAAUUCGAUGAUACGCGAGGAACCUUACCCGGGCUUGAAAGUUAGUGAAUGAGAUAGAGAUAUUUCAGUGAGCAAUCACACGAAACUAGGUGCUGCAUGGCUGUCGUCAGCUCGUGCCGUGAGGUGUUGGGUUAAGUCCCGCAACGAGCGCAACCCCUAUGUUUAGUUGCCAGCACGUUAAGGUGGGGACUCUAAACAGACUGCCUGUGCAAACAGAGAGGAAGGAGGGGACGACGUCAAGUCAUCAUGGCCCUUACGUCCGGGGCUACACACGUGCUACAAUGGAUGGUACAGAGGGCAGCAAGCUGGCAACAGCAAGCAAAUCUCAAAAAGCCAUUCACAGUUCGGAUAGAGGUCUGCAACUCGACCUCUUGAAGUUGGAUUCGCUAGUAAUCGCGUAUCAGCAAUGACGCGGUGAAUACGUUCCCGGGCCUUGUACACACCGCCCGUCAAGCCAUGGAAGUUGGGGGUACCUAAAGUAUGUAA